This 1042-nucleotide long non-coding RNA is filed under the name Sus scrofa (pig). RNAcentral describes it as "lncRNA (ENSSSCG00060077383.1)". Lineage: Eukaryota; Metazoa; Chordata; Mammalia; Artiodactyla; Suidae. The record is from RNAcentral.
AGUAUAGUUGAUUUACAAUGCUUUGUCAAGUUCUGUUGUACCACGAAGUGACCCAAUCACACACAUUUCCCUGUGCUAUACAGUAGGGUCCCAUUGCCCAUCCUUUCCAAAUGUAACAGUUUACAUCCCCAAAACCUCCAAAUGCCCAACCAUCCCCUUCCCUCCCCCUUCCCCUCCGGAAACGCCAAGUGUGCUCUUCUUGGCCAUGAUCUGUUUCUGUUUUUUGCUCUCUUGUUUGUUUGUUUGUUAUUUUUAGAUAGGAUCAUCUGUUCCAUAUUUUAAAUUCCACAAAGAAGUGAUAUCAUACGGCACUUGUCUUUCUCUUUCUGACUGACUUCACUUAGUAUGAGAGUCUCUAUAUCCAAAUGGCAUUAGUUUGUUGCUCCAAAUGGCAUUAGUUUGUCUUUUUAUGGCUGAGUAAUAUUCCAUUGUGUAUAGGACUUGUUCUUCUGGUCAAGUUGGGGGCACUGAGAGGAGGCAUGGAGAUGUGCCAGGCCUCUUGAGGCCUAAACUGAGCACUAGCAGAUACUCACUUCCACCACAUUCGACUGGCCAAAGAAUGUCAUUAGGCCAGCCUAGAUUCAAGGAUGGGGAAGUGGAGUCCACCUCAUGAUGAUAAGAGUUGCAAAGUCACACUGAAAUGCACAUGGACAUGGGGAGGUCAUGAAUGCAACCCAUCCACUAUGUACUGUGAUGAUGCCUAAAACGAUGCUAAGGAAUUCAUGAAAAUAUUUCAUUUGAGCGUCACACUAACCCUGAGAGUCAAGUUCUACUAUCAAUCUUUGUUCUCCGGAUGAGAAAAUUGAGGCCUAGGGAGGUUAAAACUUUCCCUAAGAAAGAUAUACACAAUGGACCAGGAUUUAAACUGGAGGCUCCAGUGCCUGAGCAUCAAACCACUGUUUGGUCCAGCCUGGGCACUUAGAGAGACAGGAUAAAAUGUGGCCACUACAUGCAAGGCACAUGUAGUCCUACUGGGCAUGUAUGACAUACAUCCAAAAAGAAUCAGUUACUGUAUAUGUCACUAAACUACAUUUGCUAACUG